Molecule: non-coding RNA, 21 nt
Organism: Caenorhabditis elegans
Lineage: Eukaryota; Metazoa; Nematoda; Chromadorea; Rhabditida; Rhabditidae
Source: Ensembl
UUAAAUCACUGUGGUAUCUAU